AAUGAAUUGACGGGGGCCCGCACAAGCGGUGGAGCAUGUGGUUUAAUUCGAUGCAACGCGAAGAACCUUACCUGGUCUUGACAUCCACAGAACUUUCCAGAGAUGGAUUGGUGCCUUCGGGAACUGUGAGACAGGUGCUGCAUGGCUGUCGUCAGCUCGUGUUGUGAAAUGUUGGGUUAAGUCCCGCAACGAGCGCAACCCUUAUCCUUUGUUGCCAGCGGUCCGGCCGGGAACUCAAAGGAGACUGCCAGUGAUAAACUGGAGGAAGGUGGGGAUGACGUCAAGUCAUCAUGGCCCUUACGACCAGGGCUACACACGUGCUACAAUGGCAUAUACAAAGAGAAGCGACCUCGCGAGAGCAAGCGGACCUCAUAAAGUAUGUCGUAGUCCGGAUUGGAGUCUGCAACUCGACUCCAUGAAGUCGGAAUCGCUAGUAAUCGUAGAUCAGAAUGCUACGGUGAAUACGUUCCCGGGCCUUGUACACACCGCCCGUCACACCAUGGGAGUGGGUUGCAAAAGAAGUAGGUAGCUUAACCUUCGGGAGGGCGCUUACCACUUUGUGAUUCAUGACUGGGGUGAAGUCGUAACAAGGUAACCGUAGGGGAACCUGCGGUUGGAUCACCUCCUUACCUUAAAGAA
This 639-nucleotide ribosomal RNA is filed under the name Klebsiella pneumoniae. RNAcentral's name for it is "bacterial SSU rRNA". It matches the Rfam family "Bacterial small subunit ribosomal RNA", at positions 903 to 1533 of the family's 1533-position model. Lineage: Bacteria; Pseudomonadati; Pseudomonadota; Gammaproteobacteria; Enterobacterales; Enterobacteriaceae. The record is from RNAcentral.